UGAGCAGUUUUCAGUAAUACACUUCUUUUUAAUUACUCUACUUCUGGCUUUUCUUUUUUAUGUGGCGAGAGGGG
RNAcentral lists this non-coding RNA (74 nucleotides) under Aulacoseira subarctica. The record is from RNAcentral. Lineage: Eukaryota; Bacillariophyta; Melosirophyceae; Melosirales; Aulacoseiraceae.